This 355-nucleotide ribosomal RNA is filed under the name Anthaxia nitidula. RNAcentral describes it as "partial 12S ribosomal RNA". Lineage: Eukaryota; Metazoa; Arthropoda; Insecta; Coleoptera; Buprestidae. The record is from RNAcentral.
CUUAUUUUAGAGCUUAAUCAUUACUCCUAUAUCAAAAUAAUUACUUUCAAAUCCACUUUAAUAUAAAUUUUCAAGUCAUAAACCAUAUAAAUAAAUUUAUUGUAACCCAUUUCUACUUAACUAUAAGCUGCAUCUUGAUCUGAUUUAGAUUCUAAUAAAACAAAAUGAACAUUCUCUUUCUUUUAAAAUAUUCAACGACGACGAUAUACAAACCCUAAAUUAAGUGCUGUUAAUCGUGGAACAUCAAUUACAGAACAGGUUCCUCUGAAAAGACUAAAAUACCGCCAAAAUCUUUAAUUUUCAAGAACAUAACUAAUACUAAUCAGGCAAAAUAUUUACAUUUAAAAUUAAUGGA